RNAcentral lists this transfer RNA (87 nucleotides) under Alphaproteobacteria bacterium HGW-Alphaproteobacteria-11. Its description in RNAcentral is "tRNA-Leu". It matches the Rfam family "tRNA". From Rfam's summary of the family: Transfer RNA (tRNA) molecules are approximately 80 nucleotides in length. Their secondary structure includes four short double-helical elements and three loops (D, anti-codon, and T loops). Further hydrogen bonds mediate the characteristic L-shaped molecular structure. tRNAs have two regions of fundamental functional importance: the anti-codon, which is responsible for specific mRNA codon recognition, and the 3' end, to which the tRNAs corresponding amino acid is attached (by aminoacyl-tRNA synthetases). tRNAs cope with the degeneracy of the genetic code in two manners: having more than one tRNA (with a specific anti-codon) for a particular amino acid; and 'wobble' base-pairing, i.e. permitting non-standard base-pairing at the 3rd anti-codon position. RNAcentral also lists the same sequence under 1 other name. Lineage: Bacteria; Pseudomonadati; Pseudomonadota; Alphaproteobacteria. The record is from RNAcentral.
GCGGACGUGGUGAAACUGGUAGACACAAGGGACUUAAAAUCCCUUUCGGGUAACCGAGUGCGGGUUCGAGUCCCGCCGUCCGCACCA